This 82-nucleotide ribosomal RNA is filed under the name Staphylococcus aureus. The record is from RNAcentral. Lineage: Bacteria; Bacillati; Bacillota; Bacilli; Caryophanales; Staphylococcaceae.
UGGUGACUAUAGCAAGGAGGUCACACCUGUUCCCAUGCCGAACACAGAAGUUAAGCUCCUUAGCGUCGAUGGUAGUCGAACU